RNAcentral lists this ribosomal RNA (416 nucleotides) under uncultured bacterium. RNAcentral's name for it is "bacterial SSU rRNA". It matches the Rfam family "Bacterial small subunit ribosomal RNA", at positions 48 to 477 of the family's 1533-position model. The record is from RNAcentral.
UUAACACAUGCAAGUCGAACGAUGAACUGGAGCUUGCUCCAGGGAUUAGUGGCGAACGGGUGAGUAACACGUGAGUAACCUGCCCUUGACUCUGGGAUAAGCGCUAGAAAUGGCGUCUAAUACCGGAUACGAGCUUCAGCCGCGUGGCUAGGAGUUGGAAAGAAUUUUGGUCAAGGAUGGACUCGCGGCCUAUCAGCUAGUUGGUGAAGUAAUGGCUCACCAAGGCGACGACGGGUAGCCGGCCUGAGAGGGUGCCCGGCCACACUGGGACUGAGACACGGCCCAGACUCCUACGGGAGGCAGCAGUGGGGAAUAUUGCACAAUGGGCGAAAGCCUGAUGCAGCAACGCCGCGUGAGGGAUGACGGCCUUCGGGUUGUAAACCUCUUUUAGUAGGGAAGAAGCGAAAGUGACGGUA